GAUGAACGCUGGCGGCGUGCCUAAUACAUGCAAGUCGAGCGAACGGACGAGAAGCUUGCUUCUCUGAUGUUAGCGGCGGACGGGUGAGUAACACGUGGAUAACCUACCUAUAAGACUGGGAUAACUUCGGGAAACCGGAGCUAAUACCGGAUAAUAUUUUGAACCGCAUGGUUCAAAAGUGAAAGACGGUCUUGCUGUCACUUAUAGAUGGAUCCGCGCUGCAUUAGCUAGUUGGUAAGGUAACGGCUUACCAAGGCAACGAUGCAUAGACGACCUGAGAGGGUGAUAGGCCACACUGGAACUGAGACAGGGUCCAGACUCCUACGGGAGGCAGCAGUAGGGAAUCUUCCGCAAUGGGCGGAAGCCUGACGGAGCAACGCCGCGUGAGUGAUGAAGGUCUUCGGAUCGUAAAACUCUGUUAUUAGGGAAGAACAUAUGUGUAAGUAACUGUGCACAUCUUGACGGUACCUAAUCAGAAAGCCACGGCUAACUACGUG
Molecule: ribosomal RNA, 497 nt
Filed under: uncultured bacterium
Lineage: Bacteria
Description: partial 16S ribosomal RNA
Rfam family: Bacterial small subunit ribosomal RNA
Source: RNAcentral